GACGAACGCUGGCGGCGUGCUUAACACAUGCAAGUCGAACGGAAAGGCCCUGCUUUUGUGGGGUGCUCGAGUGGCGAACGGGUGAGUAACACGUGAGUAACCUGCCCUUGACUUUGGGAUAACUUCAGGAAACUGGGGCUAAUACCGGAUAGGAGCUCCUGCUGCAUGGUGGGGGUUGGAAAGUUUCGGCGGUUGGGGAUGGACUCGCGGCUUAUCAGCUUGUUGGUGGGGUAGUGGCUUACCAAGGCUUUGACGGGUAGCCGGCCUGAGAGGGUGACCGGCCACAUGGGGACUGAGAGACGCCGCAGUCGCGAACGGGAGGCAGCAGUGGGGAGUAUUGCACAAUGGGCGGAAGUGUGAGACAGCAGCGCCGCGUGCGGGAUAACGUCCUUCGGGUUAUGAACAGCUUUCUCCUGAGACGAAGCGUGCGUGACGGUAAUGGAUAAAGAAGCACCGGCUAACUACGUG
Molecule: ribosomal RNA, 468 nt
Filed under: uncultured bacterium
Lineage: Bacteria
Description: partial 16S ribosomal RNA
Rfam family: Bacterial small subunit ribosomal RNA
Source: RNAcentral